RNAcentral lists this ribosomal RNA (254 nucleotides) under uncultured bacterium. RNAcentral's name for it is "partial 16S ribosomal RNA". It matches the Rfam family "Bacterial small subunit ribosomal RNA", at positions 524 to 776 of the family's 1533-position model. The record is from RNAcentral.
UACAGAGGGUGCAAGCGGUAAUCGGAAUUAUUGGGCGUAAAGGGCGCGUAGGCGGACGGGUACGUCAGAUGUGAAAGACCUGGGCUUAACCUGGGUAGGUCAUCUGAUACGGCCUGUACUAGAGUGACGUAGAGGGUAGCGGAAUUCCCGGUGUAGCGGUGAAAUGCGUAGAUAUCGGGAAGAACACCAAUGGCGAAGGCAGCUACCUGGACGUUAACUGACGCUGAGGCGCGAAAGCGUGGGGAGCGAACAGG